UUUAACAAGUGGUGACAAAACCUUUUAGGAUGCGCUGCCGAUAAAUCGGUUUUAUAAAACACUUUGAGUCGCCACCCAUUUUUUCGGCAAUGGGACCGUUUCCAAUUAAAAGUGACUUCAUUUAAUCCCAAUUUUAUUUAAGGCCAAUUAUUUUAAAAGACUGGUCAGGCGCACCAAGUGCGAUUCUGGAUAAGGGAAUUGGGUACGUCGGCCCAUUGGAAGUCGAUGCCCGAAAAACCGGCCUCUUUUAACCUACAAUUUCUAAUUUAUUUUAAUUUAGAAAAGCCAAUUUAUUUAUAUAAACCCAACCUGAAUAAAUCGAACCGAGUUCCUAUGCGGAAAAUUAUUUAAUCGUCCCAAAUAAAUUCAUUCACUGCAUUCAUAAUCAUUCAAACCACACCAACCAUUUAACCCACAGCAGUCAAGUUAAAAUAAUCAAAAGACCCGCUCUUGCCUUAUGGUUAAAGGCGGGCCACAAACCGAACCUAAAAUACAUUCUACCCAAGUUAAAUUCAAGAAACCCUAAAAACCCGAAAUCUUGCAUGAUAAUAUAUUAACGUACUAGACUUGAUUAAACCACAAUGUGCCCACAAUUGGUUGUUUCUUGAAUUAUAAAAAGAAUUGAAUAUUUAUUUGAUUGCACAAAAUUAUUAUUUUUAAAAAGGAUGAAAAUUACUUCUGGACCUCUGGAACAGUCGCGUCACGUAGCUGUUCUAUGGAAGAACAGGUGCAUGACGGAUCCAACAGUUGCGUGACACAACUAUUCGUAACUUGGGAAAAACCUUCAGGUUCAUUAGUCGUUUAUUUCAAAUAUAAGAUUAAACAAGAAAAUAAAAGUGAAAUAAAAUCAUAAACACAAACAGUUCUGUCACGCAACUAGUCGGGGCAAUAUCAUUAUGUUUUGGACAUGAACAGUUCGGUCACGCACCUUGUAGCUACGUGACGCAACUGCUCUGGUCCGUAACUACCUUUCAAACAACCCUAUUUUCGUUUUCCUUUUAUCAAAACUUAUUUUAAUAUAACUCAGAAGCAUUCAAUAAUGGGCAGGGUGCCGUUUAAUCAAUAUCACACUACUAAAACACCAAAAAAAUAAAUAAUAAUGAAUUAAUAACUAAAAAUACCAAGAAAAGUUUUAGAUAAUUACCUAACCCUCAGAUUGAGGAUUGUAAACAAUCUGAACGUCUUAAGGAACGAGAUUUCCCCAAAAGUCUUUGUUCACCAAGCUUUAACAAAUACCUCCUUUUCUUUUGCUUUUCUCUCUUUUUUUCUCUUUUUGUAUGAUUUUCAUUUUUAACUUAAUCAAUUUCUAAAGACUGUUUUUCUUCACGAAAACCCAAAAGAAUUUCCCCAGAAAAACCUAGCCGCAAUUGUCUUUUUUAUGCCCUAAAAAUUCCUCCCCUUAAGAUAAAAAAAACGCAGUAUUUAUAUGGGUAGGGCAACAGAGGAUUGCUGCGUCACGCAACUGUCGGCUUCAUGACGGACCCGAUAGCUGCGUGACGCAGCUCACUUUCUGGACCGUUGCCACGUAUCCAAAUAGAAAGUAAAACCGUUAUGUCGGCUUUCAAGGUGACGUCAUCUUAAUUGGAGUUGCGUGACGCAACUAUCAGUGCCGUCACGCACCUUAUAGCUGCAUGACGCAACUCUACUAUAAAUCAGUCACUCUCAAUUUGGUUUAAAUCAAUCUUUGGGUUUAAAGACUUCCGGACAUCCAUGAUCCCUCAUUCUGCGUCCUUGUAUCCUCAUCGGGUUAGGCGGGGGCAUAAAAACACGCAUCAACAGUUUGCCCCCCCACUUUAUCAUUAAUUGUAUAAACGAUUAAUGUUAAAGUGGUCCACUGACGCGUCUUCAAUCUGGUAAUCAUCUUCAAAGCUCAGUUUGAUUGGCUUGAAGGAUUUUGGGUUGACUUGAUCAUCUGGUCACCUCCUCAGCUCAGUUUGAUUGGCUUUUGUUGGCUCCAGUCGGAUCGGUAACGACCUCCAAAAUUCGGUCUGAUUGGCUGUGAAGAUACCUUCGAGGCUCGGUUUGAUUGGCUCAAAGGGUCUUAAUUGUCCUGAUCAACUUCAUAAUUCACCAUCAUUAACCAGGGAGAGAAUCCAAACAGCUUCGUAAUACACCAUCACUGUUAGGUGAGACCUAUCGGCUUCGGGAAACCAUCACCGUUUGGUCAUUGAGAUUGUCCUGAUCAGCUUCGCAAUAUAC
RNAcentral lists this long non-coding RNA (2199 nucleotides) under Jatropha curcas. Its description in RNAcentral is "long non-coding RNA (JCUR_LNC001492)". Lineage: Eukaryota; Viridiplantae; Streptophyta; Magnoliopsida; Malpighiales; Euphorbiaceae. The record is from RNAcentral.